UACGUAGGGUGCAAGCGUUAAUCGGAAUUACUGGGCGUAAAGCGUGCGCAGGCGGUUGUGUAAGACAGAUGUGAAAUCCCCGGGCUCAACCUGGGAACUGCAUUUGUGACUGCACAGCUGGAGUGCGGCAGAGGGGGAUGGAAUUCCGCGUGUAGCAGUGAAAUGCGUAGAUAUGCGGAGGAACACCGAUGGCGAAGGCAGGUCUCUGGGCUGACACUGACGCUCAUGCACGAAAGCGUGGGGAGCAAACAGG
This 253-nucleotide ribosomal RNA is filed under the name uncultured bacterium. RNAcentral's name for it is "partial 16S ribosomal RNA". It matches the Rfam family "Bacterial small subunit ribosomal RNA", at positions 524 to 776 of the family's 1533-position model. The record is from RNAcentral.